UACGUAGGGGGCUAGCGUUGUCCGGAAUCAUUGGGUGUAAAGCGCGUGUAGGCGGUCCGGUAAGUCCGCUGUGAAAGUCGAGGGCUCAACCCUCGAAUGCCGGUGGAUACUGUCGGGCUUGAGUACGGGAGAGGCGAGUGGAAUUCCUGGUGUAGCGGUGAAAUGCGCAGAUAUCAGGAGGAACACCGAUUGCGAAGGCAGCUCGCUGGAACGUUACUGACGCUGAGACGCGAAAGCGUGGGGAGCAAACAGG
This 253-nucleotide ribosomal RNA is filed under the name uncultured bacterium. RNAcentral's name for it is "partial 16S ribosomal RNA". It matches the Rfam family "Bacterial small subunit ribosomal RNA", at positions 524 to 776 of the family's 1533-position model. The record is from RNAcentral.